UUAUCCUCGGGACGCAGCAGUGGGGAAUAUUGCACAAUGGGGGAAACCCUGAUGCAGCGACGCCGCGUGAGCGAAGAAGUAUUUCGGUAUGUAAAGCUCUGUCAGCAGGGAAGAAAAUGACGGUACCUGACUAAGAAGCCCCGGCUAAAUACGUGCCAGCAGCCGCGGUAAUACGUAUGGGGCAAGCGUUAUCCGGAUUUACUGGGUGUAAAGGGAGCGCAGGCGGCUUGGCAAGUCUGAUGUGAAAGGCUGGGGCGCAACCCCAGGACUGCAUUGGAAACUGUUAGGCUAGAGUGUCGGAGAGG
RNAcentral lists this ribosomal RNA (305 nucleotides) under uncultured bacterium. RNAcentral describes it as "bacterial SSU rRNA". It matches the Rfam family "Bacterial small subunit ribosomal RNA", at positions 334 to 657 of the family's 1533-position model. The record is from RNAcentral.